This 28-nucleotide small RNA is filed under the name Arabidopsis thaliana (thale cress). RNAcentral describes it as "ATSL132690". Lineage: Eukaryota; Viridiplantae; Streptophyta; Magnoliopsida; Brassicales; Brassicaceae. The record is from RNAcentral.
AAACCCAAUGUACUUUCAAACUCCAAUU